This 86-nucleotide ribosomal RNA is filed under the name Muribaculaceae bacterium Isolate-013 (NCI). RNAcentral's name for it is "partial 23S ribosomal RNA". Lineage: Bacteria; Pseudomonadati; Bacteroidota; Bacteroidia; Bacteroidales; Muribaculaceae. The record is from RNAcentral.
UAAAGGAAAGGAGAGAAGGGCGCAUGAAGGAUGCCUUGGCUCUCGGAGGCGACGAAGGACGUGACAAGCUGCGAUAAGCCGCGCGU